UCCUUGUUCGUUUAUUUUCUUUUUGUGUUGAGCCGUUGGUUUCUUUCUUGUUUUCUUCUUGCUUUCUUGAUUUUUGGUUUUUCUGAUUGGGAUAUCGAUCUGACAUUUUCUGACGGUUUUGAGAUAUGGGGGGUGGUGGGCAUUGCGUAAGGUUUGCGUGUGAUGUUGGAUAUUUUUCCUUUCCUCUAGAAGAUUGUCUUACUCUUCUUUUGGUAUCUCCUGCCAUUGAAGAAAACUUGUUCUUUCUAAAACUUGUUCUUUCUCCUUUCGUGUUAAAAAGAUAGAGCUCUUAUUUUGUUCUGUUCUUGUUUGGGUUUCUUGAUCUGGAGUUCGCUUAUUUGUAAAAACUUGUGCCAAUCGUGAUCGGGAUCUUGAUAGGUGGAAGCCUUAUAAUAUGUUAGACAGUUAGAAUUUUCGAGGUUCAAGGUUUAUCUCCGAGCUGGUGUAAUGAGAGAUUUUAUGCUCCUGAGAUUGGAUUUUAUUUUUGGCGUAACUUUUACAGUAUUCUAUGGUUUUGAGUCAUCCUACUUUAUGUCAUUAACGAGGACCUAUGAAUUGGCAUAAUGAAGAAAAUUCAUGCUUUUGACACAAACAAUUCCAUUUGGUCAAGUCGACCACCUUGCAUUGGCUAUCCUGUUAUGUCAGAAUCUUAUCCAUGUAAGUCACCCUCAUACUGGAAGAAAAUUUACUAUGAACAUUGAAUAGAGGAAGCAACACUCUUCUAAAGAAAAUUGCAAGGCAGUUAUGGAUGCUGAUCUUUAUCUAAGUUUAUCAGUCUCAUCGAAUCAAAGCAUGUUCUAAGAUCUUGUGUAGGAUAAAAGGUUUUUGUGAUGACUUGUAGAUGCGGCAGCAUUUUAUUUUUUGAUAAGCCAGAUAGUUCAUACAUAUCUAGUAUGAAUAUGUUCACAAAAGUCAGAAAAAAGGAUGUCCUUGAAAGCCAAUGGAAGGUCUUCGAUCUUAGUCCACACCCUCUCUCCAAUAUGCUCUGCUACAUAAGUGGCCAUCCAGUUCGCAACAUUGUUGGCCUCUCAAUAUAUAUGGCGGACCUCCAUGGAAAGGCAGCUCUUCUUCGCACACUGACUAUCAUAAAUGAGAGGCUGCCUUGCCGUUGACGAUGACCGUCCACAUAAUCAGGCUACCACCAUGGCGGAGUCCUUGAGCACAAGUCUCUUUACACCAAGCCUCAGUGUAGCAAAGUUAAUGCCAGCCCACGCCACCUGUAGUUUAGCUGCCGGAACCAUAUGGCCGAUGAGGUGACGACCGCCCGCAGUCAGAAACCUGGAAUCUGGGCUACGAAUCACAAAUCCCGCGCCCCCUUUGUUGCCUCUGACGCUGCCAUCGAAGUUGACCUUGAUAUACCUGGGAGAUGGGGGCUCCCAAGUGAUGAAUACCAGUCAGGGCGCUGUCAUAGCAGCUCAUAAAUGAUGCUUACCAUGUGAAAAUGGAAGCAUCGAGACGAUUGUUCUGAUUCUUGUGCUUGAGAAUCUGGAGAUCCACUAGUUUGAGAAGUCAUCUUUGCUUUAUUUGAAUUGCUCAAUUAUGAUACACAUUUUGUUUUUUAA
Long non-coding RNA from Elaeis guineensis (African oil palm), 1562 nucleotides. RefSeq lists it as uncharacterized. Lineage: Eukaryota; Viridiplantae; Streptophyta; Magnoliopsida; Arecales; Arecaceae. The record is from RefSeq and is a predicted model, not a curated record.